Balaenoptera ricei (Rice's whale) is the source of this 305-nucleotide long non-coding RNA. RefSeq lists it as uncharacterized. NCBI's taxonomy places the organism in Eukaryota, Metazoa, Chordata, Mammalia, Artiodactyla, Balaenopteridae. The transcript has 3 exons. The record is from RefSeq and is a predicted model, not a curated record.
GACUUUCUCAAAGUCAAGUGCAGAUUGGAGGCUUGUCCCCAGAGCCCUGACCACCUUCAGGAGAAUUCCAGAGAGACAUUAAAAGAUCUGAAGGCACAGACACUGAUGGAAAUGCCUGUCCAAAAGAAGACUCAGGUCAAUUGGCAGCAAAGUUUCUGGCAUCCUCUGCCCACCCACCAGUGCGCCUCCUGUGUGGGCAGAGCGUGGAGGCUGCGGGGGACACCACCCAUCCUGAGCAGAUGAGAAAGCUGAGUCAUGGAGGCUAACUGGAACCGUGCCGAAUUCCAGGCCCCCUCUCCCUGCAG